Molecule: ribosomal RNA, 482 nt
Filed under: bacterium 003-025-COM
Lineage: Bacteria
Description: bacterial SSU rRNA
Rfam family: Bacterial small subunit ribosomal RNA
Source: RNAcentral
CAUGCAAGUCGAGCGAACAGACGAGGAGCUUGCUCCUUUGACGUUAGCGGCGGACGGGUGAGUAACACGUGGGUAACCUACCUAUAAGACUGGGAUAACUUCGGGAAACCGGAGCUAAUACCGGAUAAUAUUUCGAACCGCAUGGUUCGAUAGUGAAAGAUGGCUCUGCUAUCACUUAUAGAUGGACCUGCGCCGUAUUAGCUAGUUGGUAAGGUAACGGCUUACCAAGGCAACGAUACGUAGCCGACCUGAGAGGGUGAUCGGCCACACUGGAACUGAGACACGGUCCAGACUCCUACGGGAGGCAGCAGUAGGGAAUCUUCCGCAAUGGGCGAAAGCCUGACGGAGCAACGCCGCGUGAGUGAUGAAGGUCUUCGGAUCGUAAAACUCUGUUAUUAGGGAAGAACAAACGUGUAAGUAACUGUGCACGUCUUGACGGUACCUAAUCAGAAAGCCACGGCUAACUACGUGCCAGCAGCCGC